This is an unclassified non-coding RNA of Pongo abelii (Sumatran orangutan), 301 nucleotides long. It matches the Rfam family "Metazoan signal recognition particle RNA". Rfam says of the family: The signal recognition particle (SRP) is a universally conserved ribonucleoprotein. It is involved in the co-translational targeting of proteins to membranes. Lineage: Eukaryota; Metazoa; Chordata; Mammalia; Primates; Hominidae. The record is from Ensembl.
GCUAGGCAUGGUGGCAUGCACCUGUAGUCCCAGCUAUUCUGGAGGCUGAGGCAGGAGGAUCACCUGAGCCCAGGAGUUCUGGGCUGUAGUGCACUAUACCAAUCAGGUGUCCGCACUAAGUUUAGCAUCAAUAAGGUAUGCCCCCAGGGAGCUGGGGACCACCAGGUUGCCUAAGAAUGGGUGAACCGUUCCAGGUCGGAAAUGGAGCAGGUCAGAGUUCCCAUGCGGAUCAGUAGUGGGAUCAUGCCUAUGUACAGCCACUGCACUCCAGCCUGGGCAACAUAGUGAGACCCCAUUUCAA